GCAUACUUCAAGAGUAUGAGGCCACCCAGCACAGAAGAACUGCCAGCUCCAGGGUCAAAGCCAUAACGCAGGUAUUUCUGUCUUGUUUGGACUGAAUUUCAGUUUGUUUUCUUUCAUCCAGUUGCUGUUUAGUCAAAAGCUUCUACCAUGCUCCCUGAUCAGGAGAAAUGGAAGUGGUUGUGGUUGUUGUUAGCAUAAUUUAGCCCUAAACAUUUUCCCCCUCCUCAAUUCAAAUGUUGAAAAAGCAUGUGGGAUGUAGCCCAGGGACGAGGACAACUGUCCCACCAGUACUAAUCAAGAACUUGCUUCACAGGUAGAAGCAGAACCACUGAAAAGUAGUGCCUCCAGUUCCCCAUUUACCCAGGUGAUUAAGAAAAAUGUCAUGGAUAAUGGCAUCAAAAGCCACUCAGAGAUCAAGAAGAAUCAGCAGGGUCACACUCCCUCCACCAUUUCUCAGUGUAGGCCAUUCACAACAGUCCAACAGACAUGGGACUGUUGUUUGGGAUGGAGUGGAGAGAGAUUACAUUUCCCAGCAGUUUCUCCACUAUACAAGUGGCACCUUAAGAGAAGACAACUGGAUUUAGAUCCCACAUGGCAAAUGAAUUGCUAUAUAUUUAUCACAUCAAAUAUAUGUCUACCUAAGUAAGCAACAGCCAUCUGACACACUCCUAUUCCACCACGGACAGUGGGCUAAUCGAGAAGUACGACAGAUCCAGAUUAGUCCCUCAAGCAUUUUGUGAACACAAGCCUCACUGAAAUGAACGGGGGUUGUGCCAGCAAACCUGUUUUGAGAACGAGACAAUCUUUUUGGCUUAGCUCUUUAGGAAAGCUUGGGUCUUUCUUGGCAGAUUUAUGCCUGUUUGUUCCAUCCUGAGGCCACUGCAUCCAGGCCAAGAUUAUCCCAUGGCCUGGAAACUGGCGAAUAGCCGUUCUGCUUUGGAACAUGAUCAAAGGCCUUCCAAGCUUCCCUUCAUUUUCUUUCUUCCCUCACUAAAAAGCAAAACUUAGAUCAAAACUUAGCAAGCAAUAGCCUUUUCACUUAAGACAUACAGAUGCCAGCUUCCUAUACACAGUCUAGGCAGGUAGGGUCCGUUCCCCCUGUGGCCAGGAAGCCAUAUAGUUUCUGUCAGCUACAUGAACCAACAUCAAACAAGUCUAGUCUGAAGUGAUAUGUGGGGAAUCGGCUCUCUCCAUUCCCCAAAUGAGAACAGUUUGGACAUGCCCUUAUCAAAUCCUAUCAGCAAUCAUUUGUGAAGAGGGAAAAAUGGUUCCAGGUAAAAUGCAACUCCAAAGAUUGCUCUAAGGAUGGCAAGAAAGAAAACUUAAGUACACGGUGACUUUCAUUGGUGCCAAGGGAAUGCAGAGACAUGGACAUAUUUCUUUUCCUUUAACAGCUUUUUUUAAAAGCCAGAUGCCUAGUGGCAGCGACCAGCUGACAGAGCUUAUCAGCUUGCAGACCAGAGAUAGGACAAGCAGUAACAAUAUCCACAACGAUACAUCUGCAGAAUCUGUCAAACGCUGUUUCUUGAUUUGGAGAGACUAUCUGUAAAUGGCUCUUUGUACGACCAAUAUUUUUAAAAUCCUGGCAUGCUAAUAUCCUGCUCCUUUUCUCAGAUGCACUUAAAACUAACCUUGGUUCACAUUCAGCCCCCAGCCUACCGAAUGACUGCAAGAAAGUUUCCUCCAAUAUGACUCAUGGUUUGAAUUUUUGCUUGAUAUUUGUGGCUGAAUGCAUUCUAAAGCUGGCCAGUUAUGCUGUGUAGGGAUCGCCAACCCUUUUGGGCUUGUGGGUACAUUUGCAAACCAGAUAAACUGUUGUGGGCACUACACACUCCCCUGAAGCCAAACACACAUCACAGCCUAUUCUGUUAUCUAUAGCAGUAUGAUUCUUUCAAGCAGAACUUUCAAGCAGUGAGGAGAGGGUGAAGGAACCUUGUGGGCACCAGGGAAGUCCUCUGUGGAUGCAUGUGAUCCAUGGGUACCAUGUUGCCAACCUCAAUAUAUAUAUGAAAGCUCCUUUUUAGCAGUGCACUUAAUGUUUAACAAGGAAAUUCUUAAACUGAGGUCCCCCUUGAGCAACCCCUGAUGACACUGCCCCUCAUCUGAUCUAAGUCUGAAACUUAACACCCCCAAGUGACGUGAAGAAGGCAGAAAUUUUUCAGAAUCUCCAGGCAAAAGUAGCUUGUCAUGCAGGGUUGAGAAAAUCUGGUUCUGCUUUGAUUCCUUCUUCUGCCCACGAGCCCUGUCCUCAUGUUCAACUCUGCAGCUAGCUAACAUAAGCCUCAACAAAGCAGGGUAAAAUAAAUCAUGACUGUCUCCUGACUGGUGCUGGAGUUUGGAAUAUUUCCUUCCUAAAAGCUGCUUAACAUUCUAGUGUGUGAAUGGAUCUAGCACUUUGGAAAAGCUUUAAUUAGCUGCACCUGGCUCCUUUUCUGAGCUGUUGUCUGUUCUGUCCCUGUGAGCCUCCACCUGUUUAUUUUCGGGACCUUUAUCCCUUCACCUGUUUACUUCAGCAUAUGUUCUGUCUUGAAGGUUGCCUUUUGAUGGCUUGCCAUGGACUGUUUCCCUUGUAAAACAGAGUUCUUCUUUUCUCUUACGCCCGUGAGUCUCAUCCUGAUCCUGCCAAGGACUGCUGGGUCUGGACCAGGCUCACAGCCGAGUUGACUAACUUCUUACAAUGUAAUCCCAUGGCAGGAGGCCCGAUUCUACUGACUUCUGAAGAUACACAGAGUGUUCCCAUUUCAUUUAUGAAUCACUUCCCAUGAAACAUCUAGAAGUGGUUGAAAACAUCAACAAUAAAAACAUAAAAAACACACCAAAAACUGUUUCAGAUCCAAUACAGAGGCAAGGAUAAAAACAGCAAGUGGAGUCUAAUGUCCAUUAAUUCCAGAGGUGGUCAACCUGCAGCUUUUGAGGUUCACAUGAGGUCAGCAUUCUGGCAAGUAUGAAGUGUCCCUCCUAUGAGAAAGAAAGAGAGGGAGGGAGGUAUGGUCUAACCUACCUUCUGCUCUGGCUCUGCCCAUUGUUGGCUUCCAUUUCCCCCUCCCUGUCGCCACCACAUGGCCCCCCUGAGAGAUAAGCCUCAGGGGACUGCAGCUCUCAACAGAACAAAGGUUCCCACUCUGGCUUUAUUCAACUGUGUGAUCAGCUCACACACCCUUUGAUAAAGUGAAUAGCAUUGCUUGUAUUUUAGGAGGGAAGGAGCCAUUGAGUUCAAUAGCUGCUGAGCUCUUAAUACUUCAGAGGUCCUUUGCUACCUUCUUUUUUUUAUUCCACCUGCUGUUUUUUCUUUUUAAUUCAGAAAACCCACCAUUUUCCAGUUCUGUGAAUCUGUAUUUAAGUCAUCACUCCAUCAUUGUCAAUUUUCUUUUACAAGAUCCUGCUUCACAAAGCACUGCAGCAGAAGCACUAUGAUUUCCGGAAAGCAAAGGUUGAUGUGCGUUACUGAACAAAAGUAAGCUGCCCUGUGUGCUUUGAACUAUACGGAAUAUAAAAAGGCAGUUAAGGAACAACUGAUUUCGUGUUAAGCCUUGAGGAUGUAACUGAUUCACCAGCUGAAUCUCCUGUGGUAUAUCUCCUAGGGCAUUUCCUCUAGGAAAGUUGACCUUGCUGCUUACUCUUCCCCUAAUGCUAGGAAGGGGCAUUGUAAAAUUCAGCUUUCCACUAGGUGGCAAAGACAGGCAAUGAUUUGGUUAUACUUCCCUAGGGAUACACAAAUCUGUCAGUUUUUUAUUUCUUUCAGUUUCUCAUUUUCCCCAUUUUAAGCAUGGUUUUCCACGUUUCCUCAUCGGUUUGUAUUUUUAAAAAGGCCUCAUGAAAAUUUACCAGCAUUUUAAUGCAUAUUUCUCUGAAUACAUACAUUUUUGUGUGCAAUUUUUCUAAUAUACACAGUUUUAACCAGCAUUCCCCCUAACACAUUGCAGUUUUUUAUGAUGUUUUCAUUAAAUGUUCAUUUUUUAUGCACACUUUCCAUAAUACGUACAUUUUUGGCUGGAGAACAGCACUGCAAAAUUUAGAGAGGCAUGAAGUUUGAAAGAUAGCUGUAUUUCUGUAAAGAUAGCAGACUGCUUUGGGAAGUGUGAAUUAGGUUUUCAUUAACAUGCGAACCAAACCAAAUUUCUUUCUCAUCUCCCUACCACCACUCAGCAAGUGUGGAACCUCAAAGCUAUAGAAUGCACUCUACAAAAUUCAGUGCUAUUCUGCAGGAACAAAUAUAACUUUUUACUUUAGAUCGCAACAGAGUUGAAAGUCUUGAGAUCACAGAAUAACGGAGAGAAAGACAGAGCAACACAGAUUAUGAAAAUUCAAAGCAAUGCUUCACAGAUAACCAGAAGUCUACUAGUUAAAUAUCAGCAACCCUGAUUGUGCCAAUAAUGUCAUACUGUCAGGCGUGUCCAUUAGAGUGGAGUGGUGGUGAUGCUUUAUGAUGAUGAUUUAAAUUUGCAUACAGCCCUAUACCUGCAGGUCACAGGGCAGUUCACAACAUAAAAACACAAAAUACAUAAUAAAAACAAGAACAAUUCGACUCCACCCUGAUCCUCUUCCUGCCCCCCCAAACUUCCUUCCAAACUCAAAACCCCCUCUUGCCACAUGGGCUCCCCACCAAUGCCCCCCAUUUGCUAAGAGGCAAGCUACCCCCAAGUCACCCCCACCCCAAAAUGGGGGCCCCGACUUAUGCCACACCCCCUACCCAGCUUCCCCCUCUCAGGCAAGCUGACCCAGUCUCUCCCCGGCCAGGACCCCCCCCCUGCUCUCUCCUUGGCCUUGUCAAGGGCUCAACACCACCUUUCCAUCAGGGGAGGGAUUUAGGUGGGAACUCAGCCACAAAUCUGCGCCACGUCACACCCCCCCAUGCACAUCUGGCUUCCCACCAGCCACAUCACUGUGCUUACCAUGAGAGAGAGGGUUGACGUGGCAUUCUGAAGGUGCAGUAGUGAAGCCAAUCUGCACCAUGCCUCACUCUUUGCCACCUCACUCUUCCCCCUCUCCCUCCCAGUCAGCACAGUUAGGGUUGCCAUGCGUAUGGAAAAUCCCAGACCUGCCCUAUUUUUGGGGUCCUACAUCCCCAUCCUCUUCCCCUUCUUGCUUGGAGCCCAAAGUUUGUGAGUAGCGGUGGGGCUGAGAGCGCUAGAGGUGGCAGCAGCAGGGUCUCCUGAUGAGAGACCCAGGUGGCAUUUGGGAGCCAUAGUGCCACUGUAGCUGCCAUAGCCUGUCAAGCGCCUGAAGCUGCCCCUCUGCCGCAGCCGCCUCUUCUCUUUUCUGGCGAUUUCCCCCCAAAGGCCCAAUGAUUUUUGUUGAGCCGCCAAUCAUCCGGAUUUUAACUUCAUGAAAUAUGGCCACCCUAGAUGACUGACAGGAAAACAUGUGCAUGGUGUCCCCCUGUUAGGAUAUUUCUGGCCCUGUGUACUGAUGAUUAAAGUUACAGGCAUUUUAGGGAGAUGUGUUGUGUUCUGAUGCAUUGCAGUCAACAUUAAAAGCCCUUUUGUAUUAUUGAGUUUAAAUGACUAACCAUGUUGUAUUCCACCCAAAGUAACUAACUGAUUGACUACCAUCCAGAAAUACUUCUAGGACCCCAAUAACUCACUCUUUCAUCUAGAAUUCUAUAAAACUCUUGUGGCCUUGAAGGUUCUAUCUAAAAUACAAACAUAUCGGCUCUCCCAGUAUGGAUGGCUCAAAUAAUUACAAGUCACACAGCGUGCAAGAAUAAAGCAAAAGAAAGUUCAUCAGAAUGCAAAGUGUGUUGCUGGAUGGUGUCAUGGCUACCCCUGUCCACCUUGGAAAGCAAUGGCGGUGGCUGGAAGAUAGGGUUAACUGCUGCAGUGGAGCUGGCUUUUGCAUACCAGCAAAAACUUAUACACUUGUUGAAGCCCC
RNAcentral lists this long non-coding RNA (5871 nucleotides) under Podarcis lilfordi (Lilford's wall lizard). Lineage: Eukaryota; Metazoa; Chordata; Lepidosauria; Squamata; Lacertidae. The record is from RNAcentral.